AACGAACGCUGGCGGCAUGCCUAACACAUGCAAGUCGAACGAGACCUUCGGGUCUAGUGGCGCACGGGUGCGUAACGCGUGGGAACCUGCCCUUAGGUUCGGAAUAACUCCCCGAAAGGGGUGCUAAUACCGGAUAAUGUCUUCGGACCAAGGAUUUAUCGCCUUUGGAUGGGCCCGCGUUGGAUUAGCUAGUUGGUAGGGUAAAAGCCUACCAAGGCGACGAUCCAUAGCUGGUCUGAGAGGAUGAUCAGUCACACUGGGACUGAGACACGGCCCAGACUCCUACGGGAGGCAGCAGUGGGGAAUAUUGGACAAUGGGCGAAAGCCUGAUCCAGCAAUGCCGCGUGAGUGAUGAAGGCCUUAGGGUUGUAAAGCUCUUUUACCCGGGAUGAUAAUGACAGUACCGGGAGAAUAAGCUCCGGCUAACUCCGUG
Molecule: ribosomal RNA, 433 nt
Filed under: uncultured bacterium
Lineage: Bacteria
Description: partial 16S ribosomal RNA
Rfam family: Bacterial small subunit ribosomal RNA
Source: RNAcentral